RNAcentral lists this non-coding RNA (89 nucleotides) under Thalassiosira rotula. The record is from RNAcentral. Lineage: Eukaryota; Bacillariophyta; Thalassiosirophyceae; Thalassiosirales; Thalassiosiraceae.
CUUGCACCCAUACAUACACAAUGAACUGCAAACUUUUUUGAAUCUCUCUCUAUAUUAUAUGUGUACAUGAAUAUCACGGGCGCGCACAC